UGNGCCUAAACAUUGAAGGAGUGGGCCAC
Molecule: non-coding RNA, 29 nt
Filed under: Mus musculus (house mouse)
Lineage: Eukaryota; Metazoa; Chordata; Mammalia; Rodentia; Muridae
Source: RNAcentral